UUUUUUUUUUUUUUUUUUUAAGCAGGUUUCAUUCUACACUUGAACUUUACCAACAUAAGUUCAUUUAAGUUAUGAUAAUAAUAAAUUUUCUAAAAGUUAUACACAAAACAUGGAAUGAUAAAUAUAAUUAAAAUAUCAUAAUUCACCACAAGUUUUCAUAAAUUCAUUAUAAACAUAAAUUGAUACAAUCCAAAUGUGCACCAAUUAUCACAAAUAAAAACACAAAAAAUAAAUAAAUUAAAUAUUGAAAUUCUUUUACAACCCUUAAAAAAAUCCAUAAAAGAGUUCAAGUUAAGACAAACUAUUUGAAUAGCAAACUUUUAUCAGUGGCAUGAUAAGCAACCACACCACCUUCACAAUUUCAUCAACUUAAGCUGAAAAAGUUAAAAUUUUAUUAUAAAAAUAUAAAUCUAAUUGCUCAAACUAAAAAAAACUAAAAAUUUUUGAAAAACAAAUAUACAAUUAAACACAUAAAAAAUUAAUUGCUACUAAACAUUACUAAUUAACAUGUUAUAUUAAAUUCAAUGAUCCUAUACCAUUAAUUAUUUUAAAUUCAAUUAUCAAUAGCUUCGAUUAUGUGUCAACUACCAUAUUUUUGACCAACCCAAUGUUAUUAUUUGUAAUUCCUACCCAAUUCCUACACGGAUGUGCACUACUUUUGCAAAAAUUUCAUCCUUAAUUAAUCGAAUAAAAAUAAAACAAAAAUGAGAGAAACAUAUGAAAAUUGAGGGGAAAAAGAAGAAAAUGCAAAAAAUCAACUAAAGAUAAUAAUAUAGAAAAAAACCUUGAAAAGAAAAAAAUUAAACUUACUAAAAUGUUGGAAAACAAGAAAAGUUGAAAUUUUCAACUUGUUUACAAUCUGCUAAAGAUAAUAACCUGAUAAUAAUGGUGAAGACUUGAGAAAAUCUUGUUGUGGAUAUUUGGGUUAAAAAUGGUUAAGAAGAAAAAAUUGAAAAAAAAAAUAAGAGAAGAACUUGAUGUUUUAUUAUAUUUUUUAGUCAAGUAUAAUUCUCAACAAACUUAAGUACAGUCUAGCGGUAAGAUUGUCAUAUUUAAACUUGGAGACCCAGGUUCGAAUCUUAGCUACACCAUUCUUGAUAUUUUGUUGAAGAAUUUAAAAAACCGCCGGUUCACGGUUCUUAACGGUUCGCACGGUUCGUCCGGGUUUCAACGGUUCUCCAUGAACUUCCGGCUUUAACAUUAGACCGGACCGGUGACAUGGCCGGUUCGCGGUCCAACCGGCCGGUCCGGUCCGGUUCUGAAAACAUUGCUCAUAACAAGUUAUUGAGUUUGACUUUCAGGGCUAUCCACUUAAAGGCUUAAUGAUUAAAAAGAACACAAAAUGCCACCAAAAUAUAAUAAUAAUAAUAAUAAUAAAUUAAAAGAAAAAUAAAAUAUUGAAAAAUUACAAAAAGAUAUAAAAUAAUUGUAAGAUAAUCAUUUUUAGCCAAAUCAAAAUAAUUGGUAGAUUUACCAAUUAUAUAAUUUGUAGAUCAAAGUAUAUGAAAAUGCAUGUACAAAUUUAGGUUCAAUGCACAAAAUAGAUUCUUUAUCCUGGUAUUAAAUUGGGUGUUUAUAGAGUACCUUAUUUUUUAAGAGUAUAAGGUAUGUAAGGAUCGAAGACAACCAAGUGGAAGAGAUAAGCAAUGUAAAGAUCACAAAUGUAACAAUAAGUAAAUAAAAAGGAAAGAAUUGCAAACCAAUUAACUACUCAACUCCUCUUGAGCUUGUAGAUUAAUUCAAACAAGCUUCUUCAAGUUGAUGAAUUACAAUCACUCUUGUAUACAAAGGAAGGUUCACUUCCUCCUUGCCCCGAACACCACUCGGUCAAGCCAGGAAGUUUUAUUAUCCCUCAGAACAACCCUCACAGAGCUACACUCAUGAAGUAUUCACUCACAAAUGAAAAGCUUCCAAUGAACCUCACACCACUAAGACUACAAAUCUUCUUUGAAGAGUAUUUUCUCACUAAAAUCACUCUAGAUCUUUUGUAUCUUCAGUGUGCAAAAGUUAUUUGAAAUAUCUGACCAACCACUAUUUAUAUAGGAUCAAGAAAGUGCCUCAUUAAUGCUUCUAACGGAUAGAAAGUAGCUGAAAAGUCAACUAGCCGUUGGAGUGUCGGAUGUCCGAUAUUCCUGUUUUUUGCGUCCGACAGCAGGCAGUGAGUUUAAGAGAUUUUCUUCAAUUCUUUCGGACGUCCGGUGCAAGCUCUUUGUGCGUCCGACAGCAAACAAAGAGAUUUGAGAAAUUAUCUUGUUUCUAUCGGACGUCCGGUGGAGACAUAUUCAGCGUCCGAUGGUUUCGUCGACUUCGAAGGAUCAUAUCGGACGUCCGAAGCAUGCGUCCGAAGUUGUGCAAUGAUUAUCGGACGUCCGGUACUGUCAUCACAAGCGUCCGACAGCUUUCAGCAACCUUUGUCUUCUUUCAAUUGCACUUGUUCAUGGAAUCAAAUAACUUCAUAACUGAAAAUAUAUCUUGAAGAGAUAUUAGUAUCAUCCAUUUGUUUUGUUAACAUCAAAAGAUAGGGAUCAAGAUCAACAAGGUAUGCCAUAGAGAUUACAUACAAAUAAUGAAAAAGUCAAAAAAUUUUUAAAAAUUAAAAAUUUAAGUGCAAUGUGUUCUAAAAAAUACUACAAUUUAAUACCGAAAUAAAUCACGUGUUGGUGCAUGUUCUCUAUUUGUUAAUUUGUUUCUCUUUCUCAAUAAAACUAGAUUAAGAAUUAUAAUUUGUACGUGCACCUAUGCUUCUAUGUAUAAAUUGAAUAAUUGGAAAAUGUAUAAGUUAUCUUAAUUUGAUCAAAAGUGAUUACCUUAAACAUUUUUUUGUCAAAAGUGAUUGCCCUAAACUUAAAUUUACUUUACAUUUUUUGAAGUUCUUAAAUUUUUUUUACGAUUUUUAUCUAGAUUUUCGAUACUUUCUUAUAGAGUGUCGUGCAUUUAUAUAUCAUAUUAAUAAAAUUUCUUACAUUUAAAAAACAUGAAGUGCCAAUUUGGUUAAUUAAUGUACUUUAAGGCCAACGUUUGUUCAAACUAGAACCUCAGAUACCAAUUUGGUCAAAAUUGAAUACUUUAGGGAAUACAUUUGGGGCAUCCCACAUCGGAAGUACCAAGAGGAAAGGAAAGGUUUAAAAACUUGGGUCCCUGGUUAAUUAUUUUGGACUAGUGGAUUUUGUCCCAAAAAUUGCUUGAUUCAACCCUUGGACCUUAGUCAUGACAGUUGGUAAUCUCUUCUAGAAUCCAGACACCUGAGUCUAACCGCAACCUAGUAUGGGCCACACCUCACCUCUGGAGUCUGAGCACCUCUAGAACCCAUACGAGUCACUUUUAGAAUCUGAGCAUACGAGUCACCCUAGAGUUUGACUACAACCAAGUACGAGCUACUUUUAGAGUCUGAACAUAUGAGCCACCUCUAGAGUCUGACCACAACUAAGUACAAGCCAUCUUUGAAGUGGAUUUGGGUCUAAGAGUUAUUUGAGUUAACCCUUGAACUCAAGUCGUGACAACAUUUAUUAUGGUUAAACCAAGUACGAACCAUCUUUGGAGUCCGAGUACCUCUAAAGCCCGUACUAGUCACCUUUUGAGUUCGAGUACAACCAAAUAGACAGUUUGGAUUCUGACGUCUUUUGUGAGGAUCCAAAGUUUUAAAGGUGGAGAGAAUGAGGUAUGGUACAUCAAAAGUGGGAAGAGGAAAGGAAAUGUUUAAAAAUUUGGAUCCCUUGGCUACUUUGUAACUUGGGUAACCAUUUUGGCCCCGCAGAUUUGGGCCUAAAAGUUACUCGGGUGAGUCCUUGAACCCAAAUCGUGACAACAUUUAUUCUGGUUAAAACUUCAAGGACCACUUUGGUCCAACCCCUAAACUUUUAGGACUAAAAAUGCAUUUUCUCAUUAUUCUUUUCUCGACUAAAUCUCUUAUUAUCUUAGCCAUGAAAAAUAAGGUUCUUCCUUCAUUGAAUGUGGUUUGGAUCUAGGAUUUCUUUGUAAAGGCCAUCAAUUCAUCCUUGCUACGAAAAUUUAAUCAAGUGAAAACAAGGAGAACAAAGUAAAAAAGGCCAAGCAUGGUUAACUCUUUAACAAAAACAUGGGCACCCACAUUAUUAAUUUUACUUUUAAGUAAGCUUUGAUAAGAUUAACUUCACUUGGCACCCUUGAAUUUGUAUUACUUUUUCACUUUACAUCCUAAAUUUUAAUUUUAGAUACCUUGCACCAUGAAUUUUUAAUUUUGAACACCUUGUACUCCAAAAUUUUAAAUUCGUCACAUUUAAGUCCAAUCAAUGAUUACAUUCGCAAAAUUAACGAGAUAAAGUGCAGUGAAAAUUAAUGAUUAUUGCAUAUCAAAAGUGAAUUAGGUACUUUUCUUUUUAUGGUUGGGACACACGACUUGGUAAGGGACUUAAUAUUCUGGAUUUAAAAAAAAAAAAAUGUAUCCCUCUUUUUCAUGUUAUCUACUAUACAUGAUUUUAUUUUUGUAAAUCCUUUAAUCUAACAUGAUUUAAAACAUUGAAUUGCUGGCAGAAUUGUGAAUUACUGAUGUCUACAGACAUAGACUCCAAACCUCGUUUCUUUAGGUCCUUUGCAUUCCAGUGGAUUGAUUGUAUGAUCCAUUCAACCACAUUUAGCGACAAGAGAUAGUGGCUGAUUUGUAAAAUUAAAGAGAACUCGUGAACAAAGUACAAAAUGAUUAACCUUCAUUCUCAAGGUAGACUAACUAAUUUUAUUAUUAUUAAAGCUCCAAAAUCGAAAGGAAAUUGGAAUUUUAGAAGUACGUAGAUUUCAAGAUAACCACAUUGAUGAAAUCGAAAUCAAGUAUUAAUGCUUCAUUGCUUCCUGCUACAUUACCAUAACCUACAGUUAUUUAACACCAAAAACAAGGCUCAUGCUUUAUAUAUGUGUGUGUAUAUAUAUAUAUAUUUAGAGAGAGAGAGAGAGAGAGAGAGAGACAUUAAUGAAUGCCGCCGCCGUCCAAUUUGGUUGCAAUAACGCCAACAGUUGCGAUCAGAACUUGGAGGUUUGAACUGGCCUGCUUAAGUUCUCCAGGUUCGGGUAAGGCCGGCUGGAAAUCACUGAACGACUGAUCACAGCCGUCUGGACCAUCCUGGGCAUCGCCGAGUCUGUGCCCAAGCCCUACAUAAUCCUUUUUACCCAAGAGAUCAUGGCAGUCUUUAAGAACCUUCCCGCAAUCGUCAUAGCUGCCAAGGCAGGAGUUCAAUGUGUCCCUCAGAUUUGGAUCGUUUGCGUCAUUGUAAAGCAACCGUAUCAAAGCUUGGGUUGCGGGUACUUUGGACGUUGCUAAACCUAGCACAAUACUGCCCAGGUCGGCAAGAUCUGUGGUGUUUGAACCAGCGGCUGUCCGGAUAGUUUCGCUGCAAUACUGAACAUCGUUUGAUAGAGAACAAACGUCGUCGAUCAAGUCUGCUUUUGCAGGACUGCAUACAAGGCCUGAAGAAAUACAGAUACUCAGGAGCAGCAACGCCACUACCACAUAAUAAUUCCCACUACUAACACUCGAAGCCAUUUGUCUUUGAUCCCUAAGGCAGUUAGCUAGCUUCAAGUUUUGUAACUUGUAAAUACUUAAAGUUGUAGGUUGAUAUUGAUUGAGCCUAGUCCUCAUAUUUAUACCAAUAGCUCUGGAUCAAGGGACUCACAAGUUGAAUUUUGGACAAUUUGAAUCGAUUCGUAUAAUUUUUUUACUACGUUCGGUAAUUUAGUUUCUGUGCUAAUUGUGUUUAAUAAGGCAUAAUAUCUAUCAAUUAGUUAGUUAAUUAUGGCAUGCGUAUGGUAUCUAUUAUAGGAUUAGGAAUUUUCUUAUGGGACUUAAUAUAUAUAUAUAUAUAUAUAUAUAUAUAUAUAUAUAUAUAUAAAAUGUAUGUAUGCAUGUAUAGACACACACACAUACAUGCAUGCAUGGGGUAAGAUAUUUCCUUUUCGUACGUAUAAUUAAUUUGGUAAUGGACUAAGUAAUUCGGAAAUUGUUUUUGUAAUUGAGCCCAAUUUGGAUAGUUUUUAAAAGACAUAAUAUGUGUCAAUUAACUAAUCAAUUAAGGUAUAAUAUCUAUCAAUUAUGUUUACUUAUAAGACAUACAUGCAUUUAACUUGGUAUGAACUUAAUAAUUCCAAGUUUCUUAUUAUAGUCAGAAUAUUAAUUCUUUGAUUUCUCUAUUGGACACUCACUAAUGCACCUAAAUUUUAUCUAACUUAUCAUGGAUAUACACAUAUUAACAAUUAUUACCUUUUCUUACAUUUAUACACUUUUCCUAAUUAAUCUUGCCUUUCUAAAAAUCUAACAAUUGAAAUAUAAUGAUUGUGCAUUGCCACCUGUUAGACUCUUGAUUCUGUAUUAUUACAUUCCUAAUUACUUCAAUAACAUAUGUAAUUGUACUUUCAUUAAAAAAAAAGGGAAAAAUGCUACACUAGAAAUUUAUAUGUUGGUCAAAACCAACGGUUAGGCAUGACCAUACAUAAAGCUUCUCACGUACCCUUGUUCUCUAUGUGAUCACUUACUAGUGUUUAAUAAGGUUAAGGCAUAAUAAGGUAAGACAAUUUGCUUAAAAUGUUCUUACCUAAUGGGAUUCGUUUGUACUUUUGGGCUGAGAUUAAGUGGAUUGAUCUUAGUGCAAUCCAUGCCUUAACUAGCAUUAGAAUCGGAUCUAAUUUUGAGCUCAAAAUUAGCUCAAUUCAGAUUUAAUAAGACUCAACUCACUACAUCUAAUGCGGGACGGACUAUACUCGGGACAGCUAGUUACUAAGAUAAUGAUUCAAUCGAAAGACAUCAUUAUUUAUGCACAUAAGUGUCAGAUUAUUCGGUGACAUUUUGGAAGUCCAUUUUCUAAAUUUUGAAAAUGCCGGGGGAUUGUUGAAAAUUUUUCAAAAUUUGUAUGAUGUACAUACAUGUAUUGUAUUAUGAAUUAUUCUAAAAUGUACAUAUAUUAUAAUAAAUGUAUUUUCAUUCAUGUCUUUGAGGUACAUAAAUGUAUUGUAUUAUGAAUUAUUCUAAAAUGUACAUAUAUUAUAAUAAAUGUAUAUUCAUUCAUGAAUUUGAAUGUAUAUAUAUUCAUGUAUGUGGAGAUCCUUGAAUGUAAGGGAUAGAUUCAUGUCUUUGAUCAUAGAAUCAUGAGAUGCAUGAAUUUGUACACAAUACCUUGAAUCUAUCCAUACAAGUAUUUAAUAAGUUCUUUUGUUUCUUAAACAAUCUCUCCUAUAUAAAGAGGUCAAGUAGAGAGUGAUUUGCUGCAAAAAAUCGCUUUCCUACUACUUUGAAUUCUCUCAAAAAGCACUCCUUAGUUCAAGAGGGUUUGUUUUAUUUUGUGCAAGAGUCUAAGACAAACAAAUUUCAUCUUAUGGUAAAAGAUAUUUGUCCAAGGUUAUUGCAUGUUAUACCGGACAAAUUAGGCUAAAGAAAAGUGAUAUUUUAUCAUGAUUUGAAACCAAUUCUUGUCACAAUAUUUGCCAGUUCGUUGUAAUAUUCCCAACAAACAUACGACUUGGUAAGCAACUUAAUAACCUGGAUAUUUUUUUUUAACAUGUGUCUUCUUAUACAUGUUAUCUUUUAUCUUUUUCUUCCUUUUUUUGGGGGGGGGGGGGGGUAAUGCCUUUAAUCCAACAUGAUUUAAAACAGUAAAUUGCUGGCAGAAUUGUGAAUUGGAGAUGUGUACAUAUAUAUAGACUCCAAAACCUGGUUUGUUUGGGCCCUUUACAUUCCAAUGGAUUGAUUAUAUAUAUAAACCAUUGAAGUUGUCAUCCACAUUUGGCCAAAAGAGUUGGAAGCUGAUCUGUAUAAUCAAAGAAAACUGGUGGACUGCGUACAAAAUGAUUGACCUUCAUGCUCAAGAUGGAGUGACUAAUUUUAUUAUCAUUAUAGCUCCAAAAUCUAAAGGAAAUUAGAAUUCUAUAAGUACAUAGAUUUCAAGAUAACCACAUUGAUGAAAUCAAGUAUUAAUGCUUCCUGCUGCAUUACCAGAACCUGCAGGAAUUUAACACCAAAAACAAGCCUCAUGCUUUAUAUAUAUGGAAAGAUAUUAAUGCUUGUCGCCGUCUCCCAAUUUGGUUGCAAUAAUGCCAACAGCUCCGAUCAGGACAUGGAGGUGUGCGCUGGCCUGCUUAAGUUGGUCAGGUUCGGGUAAGGCGGGCUGGAGAUCACUGAAAGACCGAUCACAGCCAUGUGGACCGUCUUCGGCUUCACCGAGUCUGUCCCCAAGAUCUAAAUAAUCCAUUUUACACGAGAGAUCAUGGCAUGCAUUCAUUACGAGCACUCAGGCUAUCGUCGUAGCUGCCAAGGCAGGAGUUCAGUGUGUCCUUUGUAUUUUCAUCGGUUGCAUGUCCGGCGAGCUCCUGUAUCAAAGAUUGGGUGACGGAUACUUUUGAUGUUGCUAAACCUAGCACAACUUUGGCCCAGACCGGCAAGAUCUGCGGUGUUGGAACCAGGGACCCGGAAAGUGCUGCAGCAAUACUGUACAUCCUUUGAUAAUGAACAAACGUCACCGAUCAAGUCUGCUUUUGCUGGACCACAUUAUAAUUCCCACUACUACCAUUCAAAGCCAUUUGUCUUUGAUUUCUAAGGCAGUUAGCUAGCUUCAAGUUUUGUAGCUUGUAAAUACUUGAAGUUGUAGGUUGAUAUUAACUGAGCCUAGCUAUCAUAUUUAUACCAAUAGUUCUGGAUCAAGGGCAUCAUAAGUUGAAUUCUACAUAGUUCGAACUGGUUUGUGUAAUUUUACUACAUUUGGUAAAUUUGGUUUUUGUGUUGAUAGUGUUUAAUAUGUCUUAGCCCCUGUUUCAUAACUCAAUUCAUCACUUAAAUUUAAUGAAUUCAAAUCUUAACAUAUUCAAAUCAUUUGAUAACCAAUAAUUGAACAUCUAAAUUAAUUAAGUGAUACCGAAUUUUCUAGGCAAAACUUACUCUCAAAAUUAAGUAAUAAGCUAUUCAAUUAUCACUGAAUGUGAUAUGCACUCAAAUAUAUUAGAUUUAAUAUUUAAUCAUUCAAUAACUUAAUAGAUUCAAACUUUAGAUUUCAAAUUUCAAACUUCAAAUUUCAAAUUUCAAUUUUAUCAAAUGCACCCUAAUAUCUAUCAAUUAGUUAGUUAAGGCAUGCGUAUAGUAUCAGUUAUAGGAUUAGGAAUUUCUUAUGGGACACAUACGACUUGUUAUGGGACAUAAUAAUUCUUUGGAAUCUUUUAUUAUGGUCAGCAAAUUAACUAUUCAGUAGUACUUUCUAGUUACUUCAAUAACCUCAAAUAGGGAAUUUAAAAAACCCCCCACUCAGGUGCUAGAAUUAUGAAUACAAAUUUAGUAUCCAUGGUGUCAUUGAAAUUUGGUAAUAGGCAUGUUAGGUGAGAAUUAUUUAUUAUGGUCAGGGCAUUAAUUCUUUAGUAGUUGUAUUCUGGUAAAAUUGUCCUAUUGCAGCUUUGCUACUACUACUUUUGAACACCUCUAUCAACCUAUCAAUUAGUUUAAUUUGAUAUAUAUAUAUAUAUAUAUAUAUAUACACACACUAGUAGGGGUGGGCUGUGCUAUGCACUGCCAGUGCCCAUUGGAAUGAAUUCACUGGUAGUUAUUGAUGAAACAGUAGCUUUUAUAGUAGUUAUAGUUAUAUUUUUCACAGGAAACAAUAAGUUGUUUUUGUUGCAUUUUAUUAGUAAUUGCAUUGUAUAGUAGUAAAUUCACAUUUGUUUCUUUCUGUUUAACUUGUAAAUACAAAUGUGUAUUGUUGGAAAAAAUAUACUGAUUUCUAUAAACUAUAGAAUGUUUUUGGUUUUAAUUAUAUUGUCUUGGUGAUAAAUUAUUCAAAGAAGUUACACACCUUGUGAUCUCUGUUUUACGAAAAUUACCAGGAAGGAAGUUAUGAGAACAAAUAAAAUGAAUAAAAGCUUCUGAGCUUUAAUCUACUUUGUCAAAUGUAACCACUUGAUUUAUUGUUGUCAAAAUUUUCAUCUAAAAAUGUAGUCAAUGAUAAGUAAACCACUCCAUUGAUUCAUUGUCCAAUCUAAUAGUGAAUGCAUGACGAAAUUACAAAGAACAAUUAAUCAAGUGGUUGAAAUUUAUACAAAAAACAAUCCAACUCUUAGGUAAAUGGUAAACAUCUAAUUGAAACAAAUCGUUGAAAGAAGUAAAACAAUGGCCAAUGAUUUGUAAAGAUUCAUUUUACAAGAAAAAAAUGGAAACCAGGAAUGAUAUGUAUAAAAGAGCGGUCAACUAUUUUGAGUUUUACUAAAAGGGAUGAGUAAGUUGUUUGACCAUUGAACCAUCAAACAAUUACAAAAAGAAAGCAAUCAACCACUGCAAAUCUAAUGGUCUAAAGCUAAGCAAGAUAUCAAAAUUAUUUUUAAAAAAGCAAAAAAUCUCAAAUAAAUAAAAACCUUAAAAUUUGCUUUGUAAUUAAACACGGCUUGGGUAAAAUAAUUCUUAGACGGACUGUUUCAUUUUAAUUAUGUAAAAUAAAUUAUAUACAUCUUCCCUAACAAAAUGCUUUAUAGUCUUAUUGCAAACAAUAUCAUUUUUUUCAUAUUCCUUUUUAAAUAUUUAUUAGAGACAUGAUUUAUACAUCUUAAUAUUUUUCCCACACCGUAAAAAUAUAUGUUUUAUCAUAUUUUUUUUCCAAUAAAUCCCAGACAAAUAAAAACCUCAAAAAUUACUUUCUAAAUGAAUAAAGUUCAUAACUGGCAUAUUUGUUUUUAUUUUUAUGCCAUCAAUUAAAUCAUCUCUUACCCAAUUUCUUUGUAAUAUGAAACAUUUAUCAAUUUUUGUAUCUUUUCUUGCCACUAAUCCCAAAGAAUAAGGAGAGUGUUUAUAAAAUGAAAGAAAAUUAUAAAUUGAAGCAGUUGAUGCACUUAUAUAUGCUUUGUAAAUAAUUAAUCUAGCAUUUAAACCCCCUUGUCAUGGUGUGUCUACUCUCAUUAGAAAAAAAUAUCAAUUUUGGUAUUUUAUUUUCCCUCAAAGUCCAAAUAAUUUUAAAAAUCUAUAGAAAAAUUAGGUUGCAUUCUGAAUAUUAACUUUGCGUUUACACUUAAAUUUUUUUAUGCUUAUACAUUUAUUCAAAGUAAUAAUUGAUAAAUUUAUUUUUUGAAUUAAACAUAUUAAUAUCAAAUAUUUCUCAAUUGAUUAUUUAUUGACUAAAGAGGCAAUAAAUAAUCAGCUAUUAUGGCUUGAUCCAUUACUGUGUAUCAUGAUCUCUUGAAUUUUGGAUUAAAAAUCAAUGGAUCAUAAUAUGGUUCAUAAAUACAUUUUUUCAUUUAGGUAAAAGUCUAGAAUUGGAUUUCAAUUUUGUAGUUUCAAAGAUAUUGACAUAAUUUAGAUCCUACUUAAAAUUUCAACAGCAAUUUUUCCAAGAAUCCAAAGCCAAAAAGGGAAAAAAAAACUAUAAUGAUUGGUUCCAUUAUAUAUGCUAAAAACUAUAAUGAUUGGUUCCAUUAUAUAUGCUAAAAACUAAUAGAGCUGAGAGCUGCAAUCAUCCGAAUCUGUAAGAAGAAAUUUGUUUAAAGGAAGUUAGAAGAUUAAUAAAGGGGAGAAAGAAGAAUUAAGCAUACAAAUUCAUCAUUUGAGUAAAAUAACAACAUAGUUUAAAAACUGAGCAUUGGUUCAAUAGUAACAUCUUUUCUACUUUCCCACUGCCAAGUAAUUCAGCAGGCAGUCAAAAACUUUCUAGUAGUGCUAUAUUCUAGACAACUAUAAAUUGAAAUACUGACUGCCCACUAAUUAGAUUGCUAACUUGCAUUUAUUCGAUCAAGUU
RNAcentral lists this long non-coding RNA (11714 nucleotides) under Coffea arabica (coffee). RNAcentral describes it as "long non-coding RNA (CARA_LNC007726)". The record is from RNAcentral. Lineage: Eukaryota; Viridiplantae; Streptophyta; Magnoliopsida; Gentianales; Rubiaceae.